This 254-nucleotide ribosomal RNA is filed under the name uncultured bacterium. RNAcentral describes it as "partial 16S ribosomal RNA". It matches the Rfam family "Bacterial small subunit ribosomal RNA", at positions 524 to 776 of the family's 1533-position model. The record is from RNAcentral.
UACGGGGGGAGCAAGCGUUGUUCGGAUUUACUGGGCGUAAAGGGCGCGUAGGCGGCCACCGCAAGUCGACUGUGAAAUCUCCGGGCUUAACCUGGAACGGUCAGCCGAUACUGCGGGGCUAGAGUGCAGAAGGGGCAACUGGAAUUCUCGGUGUAGCGGUGAAAUGCGUAGAUAUCGAGAGGAACACCUGCGGCGAAGGCGGGUUGCUGGGCUGACACUGACGCUGAUGCGCGAAAGCCAGGGGAGCGAACGGG